Molecule: long non-coding RNA, 614 nt
Organism: Erigeron canadensis
Lineage: Eukaryota; Viridiplantae; Streptophyta; Magnoliopsida; Asterales; Asteraceae
Exons: 2
Source: RefSeq, a predicted model, not a curated record
CUAAAACCCCUUUUUUUUGCCAUCUAUUUUGUUACUGAAUUUAAAGUCUGUUGUUGACCUACCACGAAAUCAGGAAUUAUAAACGGGGAUAUUGAUUUCUACACAGUAUUUUAUGGUUUCUCCACCAUCAAAAGUUUAUUAUGGGUGGGUUAAUCAAAGAAGUAUUAUGGAUCUUACAACUUAGAAAUCAUUCAUCUCACAUUCUCACAUGAUCUGCUUCUAGACUAUUAUAAGUUCAAGAGAGGACGAUGGUAAGUAGGGUGCUUUUAAUCUAUCCAAAUAAGAUAUCUUUCAAAGUUUGGCAAUCAGGCCUGAACUCAUACAAGCGCAUUCCUAAAGUGUACCCAGCAGUAUUAUGUUAAUUGGACAAAAGAAAUCACGUACAAAGGCUAGGGACCAUACAACCUAUAAAUCCUUCAUCUAAUCAUCUCACAUGGUCCGCAUGUAUUCUUCAUUAUUAUAUGUUCAAGAGAUAAUGAUGUGUAAGUUGAAUUUUUUAAUCUCUCUAUUUCUUGUAUGUAAUAUUGAAUGUAUUCAUUACAUUAAUAACAAUGUUGUUUCUUGUAUGUUAUGUAUUAGUUAAUUAAUAAUAAUGAUAAUGAUGUUCAUGUUUA